UCUCAUCUUAUAGAUGAAGAGGAACUAGCUAAUGGGGCCACUUUCUCAGAAUUGAAUUCAAUUAAAUGAAAAUAUUUAUGUAUUGAACACUUCCUUGCUCCACAUACUUUAUAUAAAGAGCUCACUGAGUAGUGUGGGAGGCAGACCAUUAAACUAAUAAUCUCCACACAAUAGGAUAGAUGAAUUAAAAGAAGGGCAAGCUUUGGAUAACAGCAGUACAAAGGCAAGAGUGAACUGUGUCUGGGGAAAAUAUCACCAGCUGGACUUUGUAGAUAAAUGAAAGCCCACUAAGGCAACUUAAAGGUAGAAGGAAUUCUAGGCAGAAGGAAGCAGCAUUAUACAAAGUCAUGAAGAUAUGGACUAACAAGGCCUGCUGUCUCCAUUUCACUUACUGGUUCUAACUUUUUUUAAAAGGUUAAAAUUAAAGUUAGCCUAAUUGUUAUCCUUUUUAAAAAGUGUUAUUUGUCUUGUUUGUUUUCAAAGCAGUAUAUGUUUGUUUUAAAUGUUAAAAUUACAUAGAAAUGUAGGCCCCUGAAAGGAAGAGUCCUCCACAGUUCUGUCCUUCAGAGCUAUAGUGUUAUCUGCCUGGUGUAUAUGUGUCUGGAUCUUUUUUUCUUACAUAGGUAACCAACUAGACUCACUUCUCUUGCAACUUGUUGUGUAUUUUAUAGUCUGUCCUCAUUGUUUGGCUCUUUCACUCCAAUAUCCGGGUUGAGUAACAAGGCAGCAUAGUAAGGAAACACAGAAGCACUGGAGUUAGAUGAAUUCCAGCUGUCCAACUCCUACCUGUGUGGCCUUAGAGAGGUCAUGCCGGGAAGGCGACUGCUGAACACAGACUGGGAAAGAAAGCAGGAAGACGAGGAUCUGAAUGAUCGGACAGUAGGUCAGCUGAAGGCCUGUACUGGAAAGAAGCCAGAGAAUGAGUGCAAGCCAAGAACAGAUGACCAGAGACAAGCCUGAAGAGAACAAAUUUUAAAAGAUGUCUUGGGCAUCUUUGUUUAGAAAAAAAUAUAUAGAAUACCUUCUUUGAGAUGCUUCACUAUAUAGAAUUCUCAUCAACCUAUAGAUACAAGCAAGGUGAUGUUAAUACCAAUUCCAAAACUAUAAGGCUCUUCACCUUCUUGCUCAUACAGGAACUCAACUUCCUCUUCCCAGUCUCGCUGGGCCAUUUCUGGGAGUCAGGGGUUGUUGAUUCUCAUCUGCUCAAGGACAAACUUAUUCAAGUUGGUCUCCUCUGGCCUCCUUGCCAAGGUGCCUCGCCAGCCACAGCCUCUGGGGCUGCAGCCACCUUGGAGAACCUGCUCUGCUACUUCCCCACCACCCCCUCCACCCUCUGCAGGGGAGGGGUGUGUAUGUAUAGGAUGGGGUGUGGGGUCAGAAAGGAGAACCACCCUGUUUCCAAAUCAAUAUCUAAAGUCUGUCAUGAACUCAACUCCCCGUAUUUCUCUUCCUGACCUCAACCUCUGCUGAAGUUCCAAACAGGUCCCCUGAGGUUGAAUUGAAGAAAAGGAAAGGUUGACAUAUUUCAGUCCUCCCUUUCAGUAUCCUAUCAACUUUUAUCUCUCUGGUCACUGAAGAACAAAUAUUGACUAUGUAGUGUAUUGAAUGUAAAAUGCAGCUCUUUGCCCGUUUCUGUGUCUGUGCCCUUUGUAGUGAGACACUCGGCUCCUCCCACUAAGGACUGGAAUCUUCCCUACCUCCUUGAAUUGGGGCUGGCCUGUGACUGGCCUUGGUCAGCUGAACGGAGCCAAAGUGAUGGUGUGUCCAUUCCAAGCCUGCACCUUGAGAGGCCUGAGCACUUCCACUCACUCUUGGCUCCUCAACAUACCCUAGAACAGUCUGGCUUAGGCUUCAGGUUGAGAAAAACUCACCUCGGCUCCCAGCCAGUCACCCGCCCAGCAGAGCCCAGAAGAACUGCCCUGCCAAGAUCAACAGAUGUUUGGAGAUGACCUGCUUUUGCAUGAGUGGGCCCAAGGAGAACCAAAGAACCACUCAACUAAACCACACAUUUGUGGACUAAAUAAAGUCAUUUGAAACCACUGGA
This is a long non-coding RNA of Bubalus bubalis (water buffalo), 2044 nucleotides long. RefSeq lists it as uncharacterized. The transcript is spliced from 2 exons. Lineage: Eukaryota; Metazoa; Chordata; Mammalia; Artiodactyla; Bovidae. The record is from RefSeq and is a predicted model, not a curated record.